UACGUAGGGUGCGAGCGUUAAUCGGAAUUACUGGGCGUAAAGCGUGCGCAGGCGGUCUGUUAAGACAGAUGUGAAAUCCCCGGGCUUAACCUGGGAACUGCAUUUGUGACUGGCGGGCUAGAGUAUGGCAGAGGGGGGUAGAAUUCCACGUGUAGCAGUGAAAUGCGUAGAGAUGUGGAGGAAUACCGAUGGCGAAGGCAGCCCCCUGGGCCAAUACUGACGCUCAUGCACGAAAGCGUGGGGAGCAAACAGG
This 253-nucleotide ribosomal RNA is filed under the name uncultured bacterium. Its description in RNAcentral is "partial 16S ribosomal RNA". It matches the Rfam family "Bacterial small subunit ribosomal RNA", at positions 524 to 776 of the family's 1533-position model. The record is from RNAcentral.